UUAAAUAAAAAUCGGUGUUGUUGCUGCCUUUCGUAGUGACGCGUCGGAAUUGAGUCGUCUUAUCUUCGGCUAAGUGACUUAAAAUUUUAUAUGAUUUUCCGAACGUAUUUAAAUUGCUUACUUACGUUUGAGAUAUCGAAUAUUUUAUUAGGUUCGGUCAUCCUUAUGACUCGCGCCUAUAAUUUUUUCAUU
This 192-nucleotide unclassified non-coding RNA is filed under the name uncultured Glomeraceae. Its description in RNAcentral is "sequence contains ITS2". The record is from RNAcentral. Lineage: Eukaryota; Fungi; Glomeromycota; Glomeromycetes; Glomerales; Glomeraceae.